This 477-nucleotide ribosomal RNA is filed under the name uncultured organism. Its description in RNAcentral is "partial 16S ribosomal RNA". It matches the Rfam family "Bacterial small subunit ribosomal RNA", at positions 332 to 800 of the family's 1533-position model. The record is from RNAcentral.
UACACUCCUACGGGAGGCAGCAGUGGGGAAUAUUGCACAAUGGGCGCAAGCCUGAUGCAGCCAUGCCGCGUGUAUGAAGAAGGCCUUCGGGUUGUAAAGUACUUUCAGCGGGGAGGAAGGCGAUAAGGUUAAUAACCUUGUUGAUUGACGUUACCCGCAGAAGAAGCACCGGCUAACUCCGUGCCAGCAGCCGCGGUAAUACGGAGGGUGCAAGCGUUAAUCGGAAUUACUGGGCGUAAAGCGCACGCAGGCGGUCUGUCAAGUCGGAUGUGAAAUCCCCGGGCUCAACCUGGGAACUGCAUUCGAAACUGGCAGGCUAGAGUCUUGUAGAGGGGGGUAGAAUUCCAGGUGUAGCGGUGAAAUGCGUAGAGAUCUGGAGGAAUACCGGUGGCGAAGGCGGCCCCCUGGACAAAGACUGACGCUCAGGUGCGAAAGCGUGGGGAGCAAACAGGAUUAGAAACCCCGGUAGUCCCAUGA